GCCCGGCUAGAUCAGUCGGUAGAGCACGAAACUCUUAAUCUCGAAGUCAUGGGUUCGUGCCCCACGUUGGGCG
This 73-nucleotide transfer RNA is filed under the name Trichonephila clavata. It matches the Rfam family "tRNA". Rfam says of the family: Transfer RNA (tRNA) molecules are approximately 80 nucleotides in length. The record is from Rfam by way of RNAcentral. Lineage: Eukaryota; Metazoa; Arthropoda; Arachnida; Araneae; Nephilidae.